RNAcentral lists this transfer RNA (71 nucleotides) under Bos taurus (domestic cattle). It matches the Rfam family "tRNA". From Rfam's summary of the family: Transfer RNA (tRNA) molecules are approximately 80 nucleotides in length. Their secondary structure includes four short double-helical elements and three loops (D, anti-codon, and T loops). Further hydrogen bonds mediate the characteristic L-shaped molecular structure. tRNAs have two regions of fundamental functional importance: the anti-codon, which is responsible for specific mRNA codon recognition, and the 3' end, to which the tRNAs corresponding amino acid is attached (by aminoacyl-tRNA synthetases). tRNAs cope with the degeneracy of the genetic code in two manners: having more than one tRNA (with a specific anti-codon) for a particular amino acid; and 'wobble' base-pairing, i.e. permitting non-standard base-pairing at the 3rd anti-codon position. The record is from Rfam by way of RNAcentral. RNAcentral also lists the same sequence under 5 other names. Lineage: Eukaryota; Metazoa; Chordata; Mammalia; Artiodactyla; Bovidae.
UCCCUGGUGGCUUAGAUGGUAAAGAACUGCCUGCGAUGCAGAAGACCCAGGUUCAAUCCCUGGGCUGAGAA